GGCUGGUCCGAGCGCAGUGGUGUUUACAACUAAUUGAUCACAACCAGUUACAGAUUUCUUUGUUCCUUCUCCACUCCCACGACUUCACUUGACUAGCCUUUA
Aotus nancymaae (Ma's night monkey) is the source of this 102-nucleotide unclassified non-coding RNA. It matches the Rfam family "Y RNA". Rfam says of the family: Y RNAs are components of the Ro ribonucleoprotein particle (Ro RNP), in association with Ro60 and La proteins. NCBI's taxonomy places the organism in Eukaryota, Metazoa, Chordata, Mammalia, Primates, Aotidae. The record is from Ensembl.